CCCGGAUCCUCCCUUGGACCUCGCCCCGCCCGCCCCGGCAGGUGAGAGACCCCCGGAUCCCCUCUGGACCUCGCCCCGCCUCCUCCGCCAGGUGUCUUGUCACAGUACUGUGAGCAGGUUUCUAAUGCCAACCAGCGGCUUUGCUCGGUAUGUACACACACUGUGCAGAGACACGGACGGCACCCCCAGGACACUCCAA
This is a long non-coding RNA of Motacilla alba alba, 199 nucleotides long. RefSeq lists it as uncharacterized. Lineage: Eukaryota; Metazoa; Chordata; Aves; Passeriformes; Motacillidae. The transcript has 2 exons. The record is from RefSeq and is a predicted model, not a curated record.